UUCCGGUUGAUCCUGCCGGAGGCUACCGCUAUUGGAGUUCGAUUAAGCCAUGCGAGUCGUGAGUCUUAGGGACUCGGCGUACCGCUCAGUAACACGUGGGUAACCUGCCCUAUGCUGGGGAAUAACCUCGGGAAACUGAGAAUAAUGCCCCAUAGUUCACCACACCUGGAACGGUGGGUGGAUGAAAGCUCCGGCGGCAUAGGAUGGGCCUGCGGCGUAUCAGGUUGUAGGGGGUGUAAUGUACCCUCUAGCCAUCUACGCGUACGGGUGUUGAGAGACAUCGCCCGGAGAUGGAUUCUGAGACACGAAUCCAGACCCUACGGGGUGCAGCAGGCGCGAAAACUUGGCAAUGCGAGCAAUCGUGACCAGGGAACUCCAAGUGCAUCGGGUAAGACCGAUGCUUUUCUUGACUCUUCAAAGGUCUUGGAAUAAGGGGUGGGUAAGGACGGUGCCAGCCGCCGCGGUAAUACCGGCGCCUCAAGUGGUAGUCGCUUUUAUUGGGCCUAAAACGUCCGUAGCCGGUUUGGUACAUUCGUGGGUAAAUCAAGACGCUCAACGUCUUGAAUUCUGCGAGCACGGCCAGACUUGGGACCGGGUGAGGUGUGGGGUACUCUCAGGGUAGGGGUAAAAUCCUGUCAUCCUGAGAGGACCACCUGUUGCGAAGGCGCCACACUAGAACGGAUCCGACGGUCAGGGACGAAGCCUAGGGGCACGAACCGGAUUAGAUACCCGGGUAGUCCUAGGUGUAAACGCUGUGGACUUGAUGUUGGGAGUGCUCCGAGCGCCCUCAGUGUCGAAGCGAAGGUGAUAAGUCCACUGCCUGGGGAGUACGGUCGCAAGGCUGAAACUUAAAGGAAUUGGCGGGGGAGCACUGCAACCUGAGGAUUGUGCGGUUUAAUUGGAUUCAACGCCGGG
RNAcentral lists this ribosomal RNA (915 nucleotides) under uncultured archaeon. RNAcentral's name for it is "bacterial SSU rRNA". It matches the Rfam family "Archaeal small subunit ribosomal RNA", at positions 1 to 922 of the family's 1478-position model. The record is from RNAcentral.